GUAACUGUAUCCCUCUUCCUCCAAACCUGGCUGGAUGCGGAGGGGCUUCCUAGCUUCCAUUUAAGUUUGCAUAAUAUUUUUUGAAAAAUGACUGUAUUUUGGAUUGCAGUGGCUUCCAACCUCAAUAACCCGGAGAACUAGAAAGUUUUGCAACAAGACCUUUUUGUUCCCUAGAUAGCAUAGGUUAAUCUCAGAUAACCAUGUGUGGUUGCUUCCAUACAUACUUGGUGUACUGGACCAUGAAUAUGACUUCCAAAUAAGCAUUCAGAAAGUUUUUUUGAAGUACAAUCAUGAGUACAUGACAACCACCAGAUCCUUUACAUGGAGCAAUUGACAGACACUAUUUAAGAAAGGAAAAUGUUGAAUGCUAUCAUGUAUGAAGAAUUGUUCACCGAAGAAAUGGGUCAAUUGUAGCAUUGCAGGUUCAAGGUUGAGGUGAAGUAGGUGUAAACUAGCCUACCACAAUUUGCCUGACUCCUUGUAAAAAUUCAUGAAUUGAUGAUUUUGUGAACAUGGCUUAGGCAAUGUAUUCAGGUUGUCAUGAUAUUUGAAA
Long non-coding RNA from Panicum hallii, 553 nucleotides. RefSeq lists it as uncharacterized. Lineage: Eukaryota; Viridiplantae; Streptophyta; Magnoliopsida; Poales; Poaceae. The record is from RefSeq and is a predicted model, not a curated record. The transcript is spliced from 4 exons.